Molecule: ribosomal RNA, 253 nt
Filed under: uncultured bacterium
Lineage: Bacteria
Description: partial 16S ribosomal RNA
Rfam family: Bacterial small subunit ribosomal RNA
Source: RNAcentral
UACGUAGGGUGCGAGCGUUAAUCGGAAUUACUGGGCGUAAAGCGUGCGCAGGCGGUUCGCUGUGUCCUGUGUGAAAGCCCCGGGCUUAACCUGGGAAUGGCAUGGGAAACUGGCGGGCUGGAGUGUGGCAGAGGGGGGUGGAAUUCCGCGUGUAGCAGUGAAAUGCGUAGAGAUGCGGAGGAACACCGAUGGCGAAGGCAGCCCCCUGGGCUAACACUGACGCUCAGGCACGAAAGUGUGGGGAGCAAACAGG